RNAcentral lists this ribosomal RNA (253 nucleotides) under uncultured bacterium. RNAcentral's name for it is "partial 16S ribosomal RNA". It matches the Rfam family "Bacterial small subunit ribosomal RNA", at positions 524 to 776 of the family's 1533-position model. The record is from RNAcentral.
UACAGAGGUGGCAAGCGUUGUUCGGAUUUAUUGGGCGUAAAGGGUCCGUAGGCGGUUUGGAAAGUCAGAUGUGAAAUCCCACAGCUCAACUGUAGAACUGCAUUUGAAACUUCCAGACUAGAGUAUGAGAGGGGUAAGGGGAAUUCCCGGUGUAAGGGUGAAAUCUGCAGAGAUCGGGAGGAACACCAGUCGCGAAGGCGCCUUACUGGCUCAUUACUGACGCUCAGGGACGAAAGCGUGGGGAGCAAAAGGG